GAUGAAGAACGUAGCGAAAUGCGAUAAGUAGUGUGAAUUACAGAAUUCAGUGAAUCAUCGAAUCUUUGAACGCACAUUGCGCCCCUUGGUAUUCCAUGGGGCAUGCCUGUUCGAGCGUCAUUUGUACCUUCAAGCUUUGCUUGGUGUUGGGUGUUUGUCUCGCCUCUGCGUGUAGACUCGCCUUAAAACAAUUGGCAGCCGGCGUAUUGAUUUCGGAGCGCAGUACAUCUCGCGCUUUGCACUCAUAACGACGACGUCCAAAAGUACAUUUUUACACUCUUGACCUCGGAUCAGGUAGGGAUACCCGCUGAACUUAAGCAUAUCAAUAAGCGGAGGA
RNAcentral lists this unclassified non-coding RNA (337 nucleotides) under soil metagenome. Its description in RNAcentral is "partial contains 5.8S ribosomal RNA, internal transcribed spacer 2, and large subunit ribosomal RNA". The stretch from base 1 to 120 matches the Rfam family "5.8S ribosomal RNA", at positions 35 to 154 of the family's 154-position model. The record is from RNAcentral.